UACAGAGGUCUCAAGCGUUGUUCGGAUUCAUUGGGCGUAAAGGGUGCGUAGGCGGCGCGGUAAGUCGGGUGUGAAAUCUCGGGGCUUAACUCCGAAACUGCAUUCGAUACUGCCGUGCUUGAGGACUGGAGAGGAGACUGGAAUUCACGGUGUAGCAGUGAAAUGCGUAGAUAUCGUGAGGAAGACCAGUGGCGAAGGCGGCAUCCUGGACCAAUACUGACACUGAGGAGCGAAAGCCAGGGGAGCAAACGGG
RNAcentral lists this ribosomal RNA (253 nucleotides) under uncultured bacterium. RNAcentral's name for it is "partial 16S ribosomal RNA". It matches the Rfam family "Bacterial small subunit ribosomal RNA", at positions 524 to 776 of the family's 1533-position model. The record is from RNAcentral.